CCCAGCCACCUCCCUGCCCUCCACCAUCACUGGGAUGCCAGGAAGACCGGGCCGUUCUGCAUCUGCUUAGAAUUCAGACCCACCCUGGAGCGCCCUGCCUGUUCUACCACUCACCGAGAAGGAGGCUGAUCUGAAGCAGGAGGACCUGGGUAGGGAGCCAGCUGCUGCCUGAGGAGUCCAUGCCGCCUGGUGACUGAGCAGCUUGAGAAGAAUAUGUAGAACUGUGGCCAAACCCUAGUUUACUUAAGAAAAAAAGAAGUUCUAUAUAAGGUCAUGUUCUGAGACUGGAAUUGGAUCUGGAAAGCCCAAGAGGAUGAAAACUAAGAUCAUUUGGACUAUUUACAUCAUUCUUCUAUUUUAAAGCAAUGUUACAACAAACAUCUGUGUCAGUUAGAAAUACACUUGGUUGCUAGUGAGAGAGACACAGGGUAACCGAAACAAACUAUAAGCUUUUUUUCUCUUGUAUUCAAAAAACUCUGUAAAGAAGUACUGCAGGGCAGGAAUGAUGACUCUACAAAGAAUCAGGGUCUUAGGCACCAUAUAUUUUUCUGUUCCUUAGUAUGUGGUCUCUAUUCUCAAGGUCACAGAAUAGCUGCUGGAACUCUUGCCAUCAUGUCCAAGUUCCAGACACCAGGAAGAAAAAAGAUGUGGAAGGGAAAGAGUUUUUCCUCAAGUCCCACCAAAUGACUUCUGCUUCCAUUUUACUGGCCCUCCCUUUCUUACAAGGGAGUCUGGGGAGAGGAAAUCGUUAGUUAGGCACAUCACUACAACCAAAUACACAGUUAGGAAGGGAAGGGAUUGAUAGUGGGUAGGCAGCUAGCAGUUUCAGCCACAACACACUUAAACAUGUUUCUUUUCUCAUGCAUAUAGUGUUGCUUCUGUUUAGAUAUAUCC
Long non-coding RNA from Propithecus coquereli (Coquerel's sifaka), 894 nucleotides. RefSeq lists it as uncharacterized. The record is from RefSeq and is a predicted model, not a curated record. The transcript has 3 exons. NCBI's taxonomy places the organism in Eukaryota, Metazoa, Chordata, Mammalia, Primates, Indriidae.